Long non-coding RNA from Macrobrachium nipponense, 404 nucleotides. RefSeq lists it as uncharacterized. Lineage: Eukaryota; Metazoa; Arthropoda; Malacostraca; Decapoda; Palaemonidae. The transcript has 3 exons. The record is from RefSeq and is a predicted model, not a curated record.
GAAGGUAGUAUUGUGUGUGCAGCAGGCAUUUCUCCACCAAAAAAUAACUUCAUCCAGCUUCUGACAAACACUGCCACAAUGCCUGCCCAGAUCAACAUGUGGAAGGUUCUACUAGCUGCACCAGAUCAGAUGUUGACCUUAUAAAGAUAAAUACAUCAAUAGAUUUACACCACCAAGCAAAUUACACAUCAAACUAGUUGCUGACUUAUCCACACGAGAAUUUGCACAACCUUGAAUAUGGUGUGUGUUUGAUGUGCAGUUUGUAUAUGUUAAAAUUUUCUGAAAUGAUAAGUGUAUCACAAUUAUUCUAAAUAUAGUUAAUCUUGUAGGUAUCAUUCCUGCUCUGGAGAAUAGAUCAUCUGACAUAAGAGCUUCAUCCUUGAAACAUGGUAAAUGGUCUAUGC